This 70-nucleotide transfer RNA is filed under the name Cavia porcellus (domestic guinea pig). It matches the Rfam family "tRNA". From Rfam's summary of the family: Transfer RNA (tRNA) molecules are approximately 80 nucleotides in length. Their secondary structure includes four short double-helical elements and three loops (D, anti-codon, and T loops). The record is from Rfam by way of RNAcentral. Lineage: Eukaryota; Metazoa; Chordata; Mammalia; Rodentia; Caviidae.
GGGACUAUAGCUCAGUGGCAUAAGCAUCUGCUUGGCAAGCACAAGGUCCUGAGUUCAAUUCCCAGUACCA